This 484-nucleotide ribosomal RNA is filed under the name uncultured bacterium. Its description in RNAcentral is "partial 16S ribosomal RNA". It matches the Rfam family "Bacterial small subunit ribosomal RNA", at positions 30 to 507 of the family's 1533-position model. The record is from RNAcentral.
AUUGAACGCUGGCGGCAGGCCUAACACAUGCAAGUCGAGCGGAUGAAGGGAGCUUGCUCCUGGAUUCAGCGGCGGACGGGUGAGUAAUGCCUAGGAAUCUGCCUGGUAGUGGGGGAUAACGUCCGGAAACGGCCGCUAAUACCGCAUACUUCCUGAGGGGGAAGGUGGGGGAGCUUCGGACCUCACGCUAUCGGAUGAGCCUAGGUCGGAUUAGCUAGUUGGUGGGGUAAAGGCCUACCAAGGCGACGAUCCGUAACUGGUCUGAGAGGAUGAUCAGUCACACUGGAACUGAGACACGGUCCAGACUCCUACGGGAGGCAGCAGUGGGGAAUAUUGGACAAUGGGCGAAAGCCUGAUCCAGCCAUGCCGCGUGUGUGAAGAAGGUCUUCGGAUUGUAAAGCACUUUAAGUUGGGAGGAAGGGCAGUAAGUUAAUACCUUGCUGUUUUGACGUUACCAACAGAAUAAGCACCGGCUAACUUCGUG